This 77-nucleotide transfer RNA is filed under the name Acidobacteriota bacterium. Its description in RNAcentral is "tRNA-Arg". It matches the Rfam family "tRNA". From Rfam's summary of the family: Transfer RNA (tRNA) molecules are approximately 80 nucleotides in length. Their secondary structure includes four short double-helical elements and three loops (D, anti-codon, and T loops). The record is from RNAcentral. Lineage: Bacteria; Pseudomonadati; Acidobacteriota. RNAcentral also lists the same sequence under 2 other names.
GCGCCCGUAGCUCAGCUGGAUAGAGCGUCGGCCUCCGGAGCCGAAGGCCACAGGUUCGAAUCCUGUCGGGCGUACCA